This 400-nucleotide ribosomal RNA is filed under the name phytoplankton environmental sample. Its description in RNAcentral is "partial small subunit ribosomal RNA". It matches the Rfam family "Eukaryotic small subunit ribosomal RNA", at positions 587 to 992 of the family's 1831-position model. The record is from RNAcentral.
AGCUCCAAUAGCGUAUAUUAAAGUUGUUGCAGUUAAAAAGCUCGUAGUUGGAUUUGUGGCUGUCGCCUGCGGCUCGGCAUUCGUGCCGGUGCUUGCUAGCGUCGCCAUCCUUGGGUGGAACCUGUGUGGCAUUAGGUUGUCGUGCAGGGGAUGCCCAUCGUUUACUGUGAAAAAAUUAGAGUGUUCAAAGCAGGCUUAUGCCGUUGAAUAUAUUAGCAUGGAAUAAUAAGAUAGGACCUUGGUACUAUUUUGUUGGUUUGCGCACCAAGGUAAUGAUUAAUAGGGACAGUUGGGGGUAUUCGUAUUCCAUUGUCAGAGGUGAAAUUCUUGGAUUUUUGGAAGACGAACUACUGCGAAAGCAUUUACCAAGGAUGUUUUCAUUAAUCAAGAACGAAAGUAG